GACGAACGCUGGCGGCGUGCCUAGUACAUGCAAGUAGAACGCUGAAGGAGGAGCUUGCUUCUCUGGAUGAGUUGCGAACGGGUGAGUAACGCGUAGGUAACCUGCCUGGUAGCGGGGGAUAACUAUUGGAAACGAUAGCUAAUACCGCAUAAGAUUGACUAUUGCAUGAUAGUCAGUUAAAAGGUGCAAUUGCAUCACUACCAGAUGGACCUGCGUUGUAUUAGCUAGUUGGUGGGGUAACGGCUCACCAAGGCGACGAUACAUAGCCGACCUGAGAGGGUGAUCGGCCACACUGGGACUGAGACACGGCCCAGACUCCUACGGGAGGCAGCAGUAGGGAAUCUUCGGCAAUGGACGGAAGUCUGACCGAGCAACGCCGCGUGAGUGAAGAAGGUUUUCGGAUCGUAAAGCUCUGUUGUAAGAGAAGAACGAGUGUGAGAGUGGAAAGUUCACACUGUGACGGUAUCUUACCAGAAAGGGACGGCUAACUACGUG
Molecule: ribosomal RNA, 495 nt
Filed under: uncultured bacterium
Lineage: Bacteria
Description: partial 16S ribosomal RNA
Rfam family: Bacterial small subunit ribosomal RNA
Source: RNAcentral